UACGUAGGUGGCGAGCGUUAUCCGGAUUCAUUGGGCGUAAAGAGCUUGUAGGUGGCCUCGUAAGUUGGACGCGAAAUCUCCGGGCCUAACUCGGAGACGCCGUUCAAUACUGCGGGGCUUGAGGAUGUCAGAGGGAAGUGGAAUUCCUGGUGUGGCAGUGAAAUGCGUAGAUAUCAGGAGGAACACCCGUGGCGAAGGCGGCUUCCUGGGGCAUUCCUGACACUGAGAAGCGAAAGCUAGGGGAGCAAACGGG
This 253-nucleotide ribosomal RNA is filed under the name uncultured bacterium. RNAcentral describes it as "partial 16S ribosomal RNA". It matches the Rfam family "Bacterial small subunit ribosomal RNA", at positions 524 to 776 of the family's 1533-position model. The record is from RNAcentral.